RNAcentral lists this transfer RNA (65 nucleotides) under Hydrocolus stagnalis. RNAcentral describes it as "tRNA-Asn". The record is from RNAcentral. Lineage: Eukaryota; Metazoa; Arthropoda; Insecta; Coleoptera; Dytiscidae.
UUAAUUGAAGCCAAAAAGAGGCUUAUUACUGUUAAUAAUACUAUUGAAUCUAUAUUCCAAUUAAA